CCAUAAGAACAUAUAUUUAGAAUUAGUGAACAUACAUUGCAAGGACAAGAAAAAAAGUUAAAUUAUUCAACAAUUUAUUCUAAUUAUGAGUAAAAGACAAGAAAAUUAAAUAAAACCAGUCAACAGUGUAACAUAAUCCACUUACCAAUAAAAAAUCAAAGAAAUAUUCAAUUCAAUUGGAUCCAAGAACACACUGAGACCUAUAGUGCAAGAAAAAGUAAAAAAAAAACAAAAUUUAAAACAAGAACCUUAAUAAGAUUAAUAAGGUUAAUACACGAUAGAUAUAAAUUAAGGAUUUAAUUGAAAUACACUGACAGUGUAAAAGGAUUUUACACCGUCAGUUAAUUAUAGCCGUUGGAUGUUGAAACAAGUUUGAUUUUUAUUUUAAAAAUCUAUAAAGUAAUGCAAACGGGUGAUGAUGAUGAAUCGAUUGUGUAAAAAUUUUUACACUGACAGUGUAUAGUAAUUAAUCUCAUAAAUUAAUCUUAAUUAGAUUAAGAAUAUGAAAUUACCAAAUAGUUCUGUUGUCAAGGUCCCAAUCCCCAACCAGAACAGCGAGGGCGAAGAAAUCUACACAAAAUUUCGAGUCAAAUACAGAAUCCAUAAAACGAACCUUGAUUAUAACAUUAAAAAAAACAAUGUUCAUUCCAAGAAUAGAGAAACGAACGUAACUUUGGAAGACCAAACGAUUUUCUGAACAUAGAACAAACACUCUGAGCUAAAGCGUUUAUUUCAUACGUCGGUGUAUAUAUAAGCCCACAAAGAUAAAAAGAAAGAGAACCCAAGGGUUUUCAUUACAAUUAACUUAGUCUAGUUAAUUAAUUUAAUGUUGUUAGGGUUUUCUUUAUUAAUCGUUCGAUACUACUAUAAUAUAAAAACAAACAUUCUAUAUUUAUGACUAAUAGAAAAUGAUAGAACAUUUAAGGGAUUAUUAGGACAAUAAUAGGAACUGAUAAUUUAUUAGGAGAAUAAAAAUAAUUAGUUAAGGAACUAAUUAAAGUCUACCAAAAAAUAAAAAAUAAAUAUUAAUGAAACUUCCUUUUCUUUUUUAUGUCUUAUUCAAAUAUAUAUAUAGUAUAUAUAAUAUUAUUAUAUAAUAUAUAUAUUAUAUAUAUAUAUAUACUAUAUAUAAUAUAUAUAUAAAUAUAUAUAUACUUAUAUUAUAUAGUAAUAUAAUAAGAGAGAGAGAGAGAGAAGAGAGAGAGAAGAGAGAGAGAGAGAGAGAGAGAGAGAGAGAGAGAGAGAGAGAGAGAGAGAGAGAGAGAGAGAGAGAGAGAGAGAGAGAGAGAGAGACAAGAGAGAGAGAGAGAGAUUAACGUGCUUAGCACCUACAUUGUAAAAAAGUUUUACUACGUCAAAUCAUGCACAAUCAUACCUGUGAUACUUUUUUAAUAUUAAAAAACAAAAAAGUCAAACAUUUAAAUAAAAUAUGUGAGAUUAACUGCGGUGUAUAAAAAUCCUACACGUCAGUAUAAUACCAUUUAUAUAUAUAUAUAUAUAGAUAUAGUAUAUAAUAAAUAUAUAUAAUAAUAUAUAAUAUAAUAUAUAAUAUAUAUAUAAUAUAUAUAUAAUAAAUAAUAUAAUAAUAAAUUUUCCUAUUUUUUAAAUCAAAUUAAUUAGAUUAUUUUUUUAAUAUAUUGGUUGAUAUCACAUCUUAUCGAUUAACAUACUCAAUUUAAAAUCAAUUUAAACCCACUAAAACAUUAUGUUCUAUACCCUUGUGUAUUAGACAUUUUUUCAAACAAUUUUUCUCCGUCCCCGAUGCAUUGAGACCCUUUUCAAAAAAAGCUAAAAAUAGCAUACACAUAAACAUUAUCUAGAUAAACUACGAUGCUCUGAUCCUUCAACACAUUUAAAGGUACAUAGACAUAGAGUUGUAACACUCUAGCGAGUACAAUAACACAAGAACUUUUUCCUUGUCAUUCUUUUUAAUCAAGUAUUUUUUCUUAAUAAUAACUCAAUCCUUUAUAAAUAAGUAAUUAAUAAAUUGAUAAACAAUAUGAGCAAACAUCCCAUAGAAAACGUAGAAACCCUAGAAGUAUAGGAGGAUCCCAUUGAGUACAAUAGAAGUAAGGGGUGCCUAACACCUUCCCCUUAUUUAACCGACUCCCGAAUCCUAAUGUCUCACCCAAUAUCUUUAGGUUUUAUCAUUAUUUCCUUGUUCUUUAGGAACGAAUAAAGGAUGAUGGCGACUCUAUAAUUCUCCAGUCGCGACACUACGAUUUGCGUAGUUUAACCUGACGUGCUCAUUUUAUUUUUCGACUCCUUUUCCGAUCAUAUUUUGAUCAGCCUAAGUCUUUUAAUCGAUCAUUUUUUAUUUCAAAAAUUGAUCAAAAAUAAAAAUCUGGGUGUCAUUGCCGUCAAACAUACUCAUUACUACAGAAUAGUGUUCGGAUAUUUGAAAUACUAAGAUUAAUAAUUAGAAUGUUUGUCUUCACGAAACACCCACUAUUAACACUAUUUAAUAUAUUGCUGGAACUCUCAAACAUCCGAUUAACUUAACUGGAUUCGCUGCUAGUCUGAACCAUUCCCACUAUUUAUGACAUAAUAAUUAGUCCUGAAUCUCAUUAAACUAUAUAAGUAUGAUUAAGUACAAUCAGAGUUCAAUAACCACCGACUUAAAUGUUAGCGGUUAAAUAUCUUAGACAGAGACACCACAAUUUAAACAUAUAAUAGUUAUUUGGAACCGUCUGAAAACACGCCCGACUAAACUAUAAAGUGGUGGUAGUCCGUAAGAAAUCUUGUAAAAUAGACAUAAAAAACCUACCUUAGCAAAUAUGGGAAAGGGUAUGACUGAUCUCAGAAGAAGCAAACAACUCUUAGGCUAACCAAGAGAUAAACAAUAUAAGAUCAUAUUUAACAAAUAUGCAGAAAGGUAGUGAAAUUGAUCUACCAAAACACAACAAACCUUAAAAACCGACGUUAAAGUUUUGAAUAAGCUAGACAAGAACAAACAAUAAAGGAGAUCACUAUUUUACAAAUCAGCAAAAGCAAUGUCAUUUAUUCAAAUAAACAUAAUACAAAACCUAAAUAUUAACAACGAAAUAAGUUAAAACAAAAACAAUAGGCAAAUCUAGCUUCGACACUAGAACGAAGAGGCACCAUAUAUCUCGAAUAAAUAUGCAACCAAAAUAAUUAAAAAUUGAAAACAAAAUAAAAAAUACAAUAAAUAAAGUGAGCCGAAAUACUGGAACUGUUGUAAAACUACAGAUUUAAUUUUAAUUAAUGGUCUUGCUGGUCAGAGACACAUUCGCAUUAACAUAAUAAUAGGUUCGAUACAUCUAAUACCCAAACAAUAAAUUAGGGUGGGAUCUAGACAGAGGAACACACAUUAAACAUGAUAAUAAUGGUAACUUUGACAAACAACGCAAAUUAACUUAAUAUUCCUGUUUGCUUCAAUAAUACCCAUUAUUACACAUAAUUAAAUGUUAGAUCAUCGAUUGUAAAAUACACACUAGUUAAUAGAAACGUUACCGUUUAACACCUAAAACUUAACUUAAUAAUGGUUCAAAUUAAUAUGCUAUAUCUUAAACACCAGGACUUAAUUAUGGUGUAGUAGUCUAUCCAAGACACCCAUUAUUAAACAAAUACAAAAUGUCUGAUACCGUUGUAAAAAUCCAUUGUUAAAUAUGUUUCUCUGACGCAGACAAAAAAAAACAAAAAAAAAAAAAAAAAAACAAAAAAGAAAAAAAAAACAAAAAUACCAACACCCACUAAUUAAAGUAAAUUAGUGUUAAAACGAGUACUAACACACUUAUAAUAUUAAAUAUGGAUCCAACCAACAAAGAACCUCGCAAUUAAAGUAGUCCUGAGGUUUAGCAAACGAUACCGAAACCAUGACUUAUAUUAAUAAGGUGUCCUUACCAAACACCACACCCACUAAUAAAGUGAAGUAAUCUCGUGUGUUUUACAAACGAUACCAAAACACCUAUAUUGUGUAACCCUCAACAAAACAACAGGAGAAAAAAGAAUUACACAUAUUAAUAUUGUUGAUACUCGUUUUAAACACCCGAGACUAACUUUAAUAGUGUGUUGUAGUUGUCAAAACACCAUUAUUAAAUAAAUCAAUAGGUGUCGAUAAUCUUUGUAAAACACAGACUAACUUUAAUUAGAGAGUCUUGCGGUCUAGCACAUCCAAUAUUACACAUAAUUAAAAGUGUUCUAGUACCGUUAAAACACCUAAACUUAACUAAAUGGGUGUUGAUCUGGUCAAAGCACCCACUAUUUACACACAAUGGAAUUUUACAAACGAUAUCCAGACACUAUAAAUUAUUAAAUAUGGGUGUCCCUGAAUCAGAAUACCUACACCCACUAUAAGUCCUGGAUUGUUAAAAACGAGUACCAGAACACACUAUAAUAUAACACCCAUUAAUAAAUUAAGUUUAGGUAAAAACGAUAUCCGUAUCAUCUAUUAACUAUUGUAUUUAAUAACGAAUAUCCAUACACCUAUAUAUUUAAAUAAUGGUAUAUUUACCAGACAACCAACAUCCACUAAUUAAAGUUAAAUAUUCUGUUUACAAACAGUAUCCAAACACCUAUUAAUCAUGUUUAAAAUAGUGUGUAUCCUCAAUCUAGACUACCCACACCCACUAAUUAUAAUAAGUUCUGGUAUUAAAAUGAGUAUCCGAACACCUAUUAAUUAUUAAAUAGCGAAUGUUCUCUGACCAGACAACGAACACCCAUUAAUAAAAAAAUCCGGAUAUUUACAAACAAUAUCCAAAACACUAUUUCCUCACCCUUUAUUAUUUGAUUCUAUCUAUUUGUUUUUCAAUUUAUUAUGUUCACUAUUUAUUACGAGAUCAUAUUGAGCUCUACUCGUACCUAGCUCGUCCGAAACUAGAUUUCCUCAAUUGUUUGUUUCUUGUCUACUAACCUUAUCAAGUUAGUUAAACUAUUUUAAGAGUUUUUGUAUGUUUAUAGACAAUGACACAUGCCUUCUGCAAUCAUUUGCUAAAUGGUGAUCUCCUAUAUGUUGUCUCUGUCUCAGCCUUAUCAAAUAACUCGGUUAUUAAAGUUUUGGUUUUUGAAGUCAAUGUCACACCCCUUCUCAUCAUUGUUAAAUAAUGACUCAUAUAUUGUUAUCUCUGCGUUUAGCCUAAGUUUUUAUGCUCUUGAGAUCAAUGUCACUACCCCCUUCCACAUCAUUUGCUAAAAUAGUGAUUUAUACUGCUAUUAACAAAACGAUCUCAACAGACUACCAACACCCACUAAUUAAUAGUAGUUCGGUGUUACAAACGAGUAUCCAAAAUAACUAUUAAAUUUUAAUAUGGAUGUCCUCUGUCUAAGACUUUACACCCACUAACUAUAAUUAAGCCGUGUUAAAAAACCUCUGACUUAGACUACUUACAUCCACUACCAUAAUUAAGUUAAAAAUGAGUAUUCAGACAUUAAAUAAAGUAUAAAUAGUGAAGUUCAACUAUAAACGAAUACCCACGAUAAAGUAAAUCCGGAUGUUACGAAAGAUAUACCAGAAUACCAUUAAAUAGUGUGAAAUAGGUUCGUGACCAGACAACCAACAUUCACUAAUUAAAUAUAAAUCUUAGAUAUUACAAAUAUCCAGAACACCUAUUUCUGUAGAUAAUUAGUAGUUGACCGACAAUGAACACCCACUAUUCUUCUUAUUAUAGGAUGAUAUGAAAUUAAUAUUGAAACAAUUUUUUUAGAUAUUAAAUUAUUGUUGUGAUUUGCUAGUUCAAGAAAAAAAUAGUAUGAAAUGAAAUUGUGGUGUUGUUUGAUUUUUUUUUGCAAGAUGAAAGAGAGAAGAUGCAGAGUUAGAAAACUCCGAAGGUUUAAAUUUGCUGCCGAAUGAACGGCCGGUACAGAGACAGAGGUUGAGGGCAACCCCCUCCAUACCGUAAACAGAAAUAAUAAAUAAAAGAUAUAAAAAAUAAAUAAUAAAUAAUAAAACAAUCACCCGCAAGAGGACGAAAUCUUGUAUGAUCAGCGUUCCGCUGGAUUUCAGUAAGCCGAAUGUACUAGGCCCUCCAACCAUGAAGCCCAUCGAGAAACCAUGUUGAGUUGCAUUAUUUAGCAGCCAAGAUCCAAAAAAAAAAAAAAAAAUAAAAACGGUCAGGCUCUGCAACUGGCAUAUACCACUUGAUAACACAACAUUAUAUUAAUCGGAUAAUAGCCNNNNNNNNNNNNNNNNNNNNNNNNNAUACACACUAUUAAAGUUUAGUUUAGGUGUUUUACAAACGGUUCUAGACACUUAUUAUUAUGUGUAAUAUUGGAUGUGCUCAGACCGACAAGAACUCUCGCAAUUAAAGUUAGUCUAGGUGUUUACAAAACGUUAUCGACACUAUUGAUUAUAUUUAAUAUGGGUGUCUUUGACAACUACAACACCACUAUUAAAGUUAAGUCUCGGGGUGUUUUACAAACGAGUAUCAACACCUAUUUUAUUUGUGUAAAUUAGUAAUUUAAUUUGAUCAGUUGAACAAAGAAUAAAAUAAAGGAUUCAAGAUGACAUGAAAAGUAUGCCUGCUAAAAUUACAACUGAAAUGCACUCAAAGUGAUCAGCGGCAAAAUAAACUUCUCGAAACAUAAUGUUUUCUUUAUUAUAGGAUGAUAUUGAUAUAUUUAAUUUUGAAAUCAAUUUUUUUUAGAUAUUUAAUAUAUUUUUGUUUGGUGAUUUGCUUAGUUUCAAGAAAAAAUAUAGUAUUGAAAUUGAAAUUGUGGUGUUGUUUGAUUUUUUUUUGCAGAGAUGGAAAGAGGGAGAAGAUGCUAGAGUUAGAAAACUCCGAAGGUUUAAAGUUUUGCUGCCGAAUGAAACGGUCCGGUACAGAGACUAGGAGGUUGAGGGGCAUACCCCCUCCAUACCUGUAAACAGAAAUAAUAAAUAAAAGAUAUAAAAAAUUGAAAAAUUAAUAAAUAAAAAUCAAUUCUUACCCUGCAAGUGGAGCGAAAUCUUGUAUGAUCAGGUUCGUUCCCUGGAUUUCAAGUAGAGCCGAAUGUAACAUAGGCCCUCCAACCAUGAAGCCCAUCUGAGAUACCAUGUCUUGAGUUGCUAUUAUUUUAGCACCAAAGUAAUCUCUAUAAAAGACUGCAGCUUCUGCAACUUGUGGAUAUACCACUGAUAACACAACAUUAUAUUAAUGGGAUAAUUAGGCUCAUUAUUUGGAGGGGGAAAGGGGGUAGUUGAAUCAGAUAAAAUCCAUCAAAUCCAAUUCCGAUUCACAUGCCUUGAUUCGAUUGGCCACAACCUCGACCUCCGUUGCGACCUCCAAUUCCUUGAGGAAUACCACGUCCGCUUCCGUGAGGAACAUGCACUCGUGGACCAUAAUCCCCGUAAUUCAUUGCUAAAUCUAGAAAAAAUUAUAAUGAGCUAAUUAGAAUCAAAAUCACAUAUAUUAACUAUCAAUGAAAACACUACCUAAAACCAUUACAUUAAUCAGAUUUGAAAUUCCAAUAAAAAAUCAUGUGAUAUAACAUCAUUUAGAAGAAUAAAAAAGGACAAGCAAAAAAGUUAAAUUAUUCAACAGUAGUCAACAGUGUAACAGAAUUGACUUACCAAUAAAAGUUCAAGAAAUAUUCAGUUCAAUUUUUUAGAAUAAAAACACACCAUAAGAACAUAAUAUUUAGAAUUAGUGAACAUACAUUGCAAGGACAAGAAAAAAAGUUAAAUUAUUCAAUAGUUUAUUCUAAUUAUGAGUAAAAGACAAGAAAAUUAAAUUAAACAAGUCAACAGUGUAACAGAAUCUACUUACCAAUAAAAGUUCAAAGAAAUAUUCAGUUCAAUUUUUUAGAAUAAAAGCACACCAUAAGAACAUAUAUUUAGAAUUAGUGAACAUACAUUGCAAGGACAAGAAAAAAAGUUUAAUUAUUCAACAGUUUAUUCUAAUUAUGAGUAAAAGACAAGAAAAUUAAAUAAAACCAGUCAACAGUGUAACAAAAUCCACUUACCAAUAAAAGUUCAAAGAAAUAUUCAAUUCAAUUGGAUCCAAGAACACACUGAGACCUAUAGUGCAAGAAAAAGUAAAAAAAAAAAACAAAAUUUAAAACAAGAACCUUAAUAAGAUUAAUAAGGUUAAAACACGAUAGAUAUAAAUUAAUCUUAAUUAGAACAAGAAUAUGAAAUUACCAAAUAAUUCUGUCGUCAAGGUCCCAAUCCCCAACCAGAACAGCGAGAGCGAAGAAAUCUACACAAAAUUUCGAGUCAAAUUCAGAAUCCAUAAAACGAACCUUGAUUAUAACAUUAAAAAAAAACAAUGUUCAUUCCAAGAAUAGAGAAACGAACGUAACUUUGGAAGACCAAACGAUUUUCUAAACAUAGAACAAACACUCUGAGCUAAAGCGUUUAUUUCAUACGUUGGUGUAUAUAUAAGCCCACAAAGAUAAAAAGAAAGAGAACCCAAGGGUUUUGAUUACAAUUAACUUAGUCUAGUUAAUUAAUGUAAUGUUGUUAGGGUUUUCUUUAUUUAAUUUGUUCGUUAAUUACUAAUAAUAUAAAACUCAAUAUUUUAUAUUUUAUGACUAAUUAGGAAAAUGAUAGGAUAAUUUAAGGAUUAUUAGGAUUAUUAGGAACUAUAAUUUUAUUAGGAUAAUUAAAAAUUAAUUAGUUAAGGUAAUUAAUUAAGUCUUAAACAAAAAAUAAAAAAUAAAAUAUUAAUUGAUAACUUUCUUUUUCUUUUUUUAUGUCUUAUUCAAAUAUAUAUCGUUUAAACACCUAAAACUAACUUUAUGUAUGGGGUUCAUAAUCUAAAUAGUGUUCUUGGAUACUCGUUUUUAAACACUUCCAGGACUUAAUUAGUGGGUGUGGUACUGAUCCAGAGGACACCCAUAUAUUAAACAUAAUUAACUAAGUGUCUGGAUACUGCGUUGUUAAAAUAUCCCAUUUUGUGUAAAUGUUGUGGUCUUCUCUGACCUAGACACCAACACCGCACUAAUUAAAGUUAGUUUAGGUUUGUUACAAACGUCGUACAUAACACUGUUAAUUAUGUGAAAUAUUGGAGUGUGCCAGACGGCAGACAAGAACUACUCGCAAUUAAAGUUAAGUCCUAGGUGUUACAAAACGUAUCCGAACCAACUAUUGAUUAUAUAUUAAAUAAUGGGCCUUUGACCAAACUACCCACCUACACUAAUGUAAAUUAAAGUCUCUCGGGGUUUUUACAAACGAUAUCCAAAACACUAUUAAUAUGUGUAAAUAGUAAGUUAAAUUUUUCGAUCACGUUGACAAAAGAAUAAAAAUAAAAGAGUUCAGAUGAAGAAAAAAUGCUGCGAACAAUACAACUUGGAAGCACAAAAUGAUCAGCGCAAAAUAAACUUCUGCGAAACAUACAUAGUUGAUAUUUGAAAUAAAAAAUGAUCGAUUAAAAGACUUAGGCUGAUCAAAAUAUGAUCGGGAAAAGGAUCGAAAAAUAAGAUAUGAGCACGUCAGGGUUAAACUACGGCGCAAAUCUAGUGUCGGCGACUGGAGAAUUACAUAAUCGCCAUCAUCCUUUUCGUUCCUAUAAGAACAAGGACAAUAAGAUAAACCUAAGAAUGGGUAGACAUUAGGAUUGCGGGAGUCGGUUAAUAAGGGGAAGGUGUUCUAGGCACCUUACUUCAUUGUCUCAACUGGGAUCCCCUUAUACGUCAGGGUUUCUACGUUCUAUGGAUCUUGCCAUAUUGUUUAUCAAUUUAUAAUUAACUUAUUAUAAGGCAUUGAUGUUAUUAGUAAAGAGAAAAAACGUAUUAAUAAAAAGAAUGACAAAGAAAAGUUCUUUGUUUUUGUACUCGCUAGAGUGUUACAACCUAUGUCUAUGUACCUUAAAAGUGUUGAAGGAUCAGAGCAUAAUAUUUAUCUAGAUAAGUGUUAUGUGUAAGCUAUUUUAGCUUUUUUGAAAAGGGUCCAUGAAUCGGGACGGAAAAAAUUUUGAAAAAAUGCUCCAACACAAGGUAUAGAACAUGAUGUUUUAGUGGGUUUAAAUUGAUUUUAAAAUGAGUAUGUUAAUCGAAAGAUGUGAUAUCAACCACUAAUAUUAAAAUGUUUGACUUUUAUUUUUAAUAUUNNNNNNNNNNNNNNNNNNNNNNNNNCGGUGGUGUUCCUCGGCGACGCGGACGUGGUAUUCCACGAUGGAGUAAUGGAGGUUGGGCGGCGAAUUCCAGAUCAGGAGCAUUCGAGUGGUAUUAAUGGAUUUAUCCGAUCAAUACCGCACUUCCCUCCAAGAUGGCAUCAUCGCCAUUUGAAUGAUAAUUGUUAUCACGUGGUAUCCCACAAGUUGCAGAAUUCGCGUUUAUAGAGAUUUUUUUGGUGACCUAAAAUAUAGCAACUCAGACAUGGUCAUCUGAGGGCUCGAUGGUUAGGUGCAUUGUUACAUUCGGCUCUACUGAAAUCCAGGGAACGAACUGAUACAUACAAGAUUUCGCUCCAUCUUGCAGGGGUAAGAAUUGUUUUAUUUAUUAAUUUUUCAUUUUUAUAUCUUUAUUUAUUAUUCUGUUACAGGUAUGAGGGGUAUGCCCUCACGCUCCUAGUCUCUGUACGCGGACCGUUUUCGCGCAAUUUAAACCUCGGAAGUUUUCUAACCUAGCAUCUUCUCCCUCUUUGCAUCUCUGAAAAAAUAAACAACAUCACAUUUCAAUUUCAUACUUAUUAUUUUUUGAAUAGCAAUCACAACAAAAAUAUAUAAUAUAUCUAAAAAAAUGAUUUCAAUAAUAAUAUUAUAUCAUCCUAUAUAAGAAGAAUUAGUGGGUGUUCAUUGUCCGGUCAAACAUACUAAUUAUCUACAGAAUAGGUGUUCUGGAUAUUUUGUAAAUAUCUAAGAUUUAAUUAUAAUUAGUGAAUGUUGGUUGUCUGGUCACGAAACACCUAACUAUUUAACAUAUUUAAUAGGUAUUUGGAUACUCUUUCGUAAACAUCCGGAUUAACUUUAUCGGGGUAUUCGUUGUCUAGUCUGACUUCCACUAUUUAUACAUUAAUAAUGUCUUGAAUAUCUCAUUUUAAAUUAAUUAUAGUUAGUGCGAUGUAGUAGUCUAGUCACGAGGUCAUUUAAACCAGCGGACUUAAUUAUAGUUAGUGGUGUAAUGUCUUAGACAGAGGACAUCCACUAUUUAAACAUAAUUAAUGAUUAUUUGGAUACUCGUUUGUAAACCCCGAACUAACUAUAAUUAGUGGGUGUUGUGUCUUGUUAGAUCUUUGUUAAUAGCUGUAUUGAAAAUCACUAUUUGAUGAUGUGGAAGGGGGUAGUGACAUUGAUCUCAAGAGAGCAUAACAACUCUUAGGCUAAACCAAGAGAUAACAUAUAUGAGAUCAUUAUUUUAACAAAUGUACGAAAGGUAGUGACAUUGAUCUACAAAAACACAACAAACUCUUAAAUAACCGGAGUAUGUUGAAUAAGGCUAAAGACAAGAAGAAACAAUAUAGGAGAUCAUAUUUAGCAAAUGAUGCAGAAAGGCAUAGUGUCAUGAUUCAUAAUAAACAUAAAAAAAACUCUUAAAAUAGCUGAAACUAACUUGAAAUAAGGUAAUAGACAAAGAAACAAAAUUGAGGCAAAUCUGCUUUCCGCGAGCUAGGAUCGAGUAGAGGAGUAAAUUGAUCUCGUAAUAAUAGUGAACAAAUAAUAAAGAAUUGAAAAACAAUAUAGAUAGAAAUUGAAUAAAUAAGGGUGAGAGAAAUAGGUGUUUUGGAUACUUUGUUUUAAAAUCUCCGGAUUUAGAUUUAAUUAUGGGGUGUUCGUUGUUGUCUGGUCAGAGACAUUCGCUAUUACCACAAUAUAAUAGGUGUUCGGGAUAUCAUUUUUAAAAUACCAGACUUAUUAAUUAGUGGGUGUUGGUAGUCCUAGAUUAGAGGUAUACACAUAGUUUAAAGCAUGAUUAAUAGGUGUUUGAUAUGUUUGUAACACACCAACAAUAUUUACUUUACUUAGUGGAAUGUUGGUUUGUCUGGUCAAAUAUACCCUUUUUACACAUAAUAAUAGUUAUGGAUUUGAUGUAAAUACGCAAUGUUACUGUGAUAGGAUACUCGUUUUUAACACCUAAAACUUAACUUUAAUUAAUGGGUGUUUAAUUAAAUAGUGUUCUGGAUACUCGUUUUUUAAAACAUGUCCACGGACUUAUUAGUGGGUGUGUAGUCUGUAUCAGAGGACCCAUUAUUAACUAAUUAAUAGUUUUGGAUACUCGUUUGUUAAAAUAUCCUUGUGUGUAAAUGGUGGUGUUCUCAUGACCAGACUACCACACUACUAUUAAGAUUAUUAGGUGUUUACAACGAGUACUAGACACUUAUAAUAUGUGUAAAUAUUGGAUGUGGCUCAGAGCGGCAAGACAAGAACUCUCCAAAGUGUAAGUCUAGUGUUUUACAAAACGAUUAUUCAGAACACCUGAUUGAUUAUAUUUAAUAAUGGGUGUCUUGACCCAAACUACCACCCUACUAAUGUAAAGUUAAGUCUGGGUUGUUUUUCAACGAGUAUCCAAACACUAUUAUAUGGUAAUAGUAGUUAAAUUCUUGAUCUAGUUGGAAAAAAGAAUAAAUAAAGGAUUCAGAUGAAGAAAAAUGCUCGAAUUACAACUGAAAUGCACUCAAAAUGAUCAUGCGCAAAAUAACUUCUGAAACAUACAAGUUUUGAUCAUUUUUGACAAUAAAAUGAUCGAUUAAAGCUUAGGCUUGAUCAAUAUGAUCGGGAAAAGGAGUCGAAAUAAGAAUGAGCACGUCAGUUUUACGCAACUACGUGCAAAACAAAUGUCGGCGACUGGAGAAUUGAGUGUCCAUCAUUAGUUUUCGUUCUAAAGAAGAACAAGGAAAUAAUGAUAACCAAGAUAUUGGGUGAGACAUUAGGAUUCGGGAGUCGGUUAAUAAGGGGAAGGUGUUUAGGCACCCUUACUUCUAUUGUACUCACGGAUCUCACUAUUACUUCUAGGGUUUCUAGGUUUUCUAUGGUGUUGCUUAUUGUUUAUCAUUUAGUGAAUUACUUUUUAUAAGGGUGAGUCUAUUAUAAGAAAUAUUGAUUAAAAGAAUGAACAAGGAAAAUUUUUGUGUUUUGUAGCUCUGCUGGUGUUACAUCUUAUGUCUAUGUACUUUAAAUGUGUUAAGGAUCAGAGCAAUCGUAUUUUAUCAAUAAUGUUUAUGUGUAAUGCUAUUGUAGCUUUUUUGAAAGUGGUCUCAAUGCAUCGGACGGAGAAAUUGUUUGACAAAUGUCUCCUAACCAAGGGUAUAGAACAUAUGUUUUAGGGCUUAAAUUGAUUUUAAUAAUUGGUAUGUUGACGUAAGAUGUGAUAUAACACUAAUUAUUUAAAUGUUUGACUUUUAUUUUUAUUAAAGUAUCGAUGAUUGCUGAUUGAAUUGUAGUGUUAAACUUUUUCACGAUAGUGCAUAACAAUUAAUUCGCUCUCUCUUCAUUUAUAUAUAUAUUAUUAAUUAUUUAUAUUAUAUUAUAUAUGAGUAUCCGUAUCAUCUAUUAACUAUUGUAUUUUACAAUCGAAUAUCCAUAACACCUAUUAAUUAUGUGUAAAUAAUGGGUAUUAUUUGACCAGACAACCAACAUCCACUAAUUAAAGUUAAAUAUUAGGUGUUUACAAACAGUUAUCCAAAACACCUAUUAAUCAUGUUUAAAUAGUGUGUAUCCUCUAAUCUAGACUACCUACACCCACUAAUUAUAAUUAAGUUCUGGGUAUUUAAAAAUGAGUAUCCCGAACACCUAUUAAUUAUGUUAAAUAGUGAAUGUUCUCUGACCAGACAACGAACACCCAUUAAUUAAAAUUAAAUCCUAGAUAUUUUACAAACAAGUAUCCAAAACACCUAUUUCUCCUCACCCUUUAUUUAUUGCAAUUUUCUAUCUAUUUUGUUUUUCAAUUUUUAAUUAUUUGGUUGCACUAAUUUAUUACGAGAUCAUAUUGGUAGCCUCUACUCGUAUCCUAGCUCGUCGGAAAGCCAGAUUUGCCUCAAUUGUUUGUUUCUUUGUCAUUACCCUUAUUCAAGUUAGUUUCAGCUAUUUUAAGAGUUUUUUUUUAUGUUUAUUAUGAAUCAAUGACACUAUGCCUUUCUGCAUCAUUUGCUAAAAUAGUGAUCUCCUAUAUUGUUUGUCUCUUGUCUUUAGCCUUAUUCAAAUUAACUUCGGUUAUUUUAAGAGUUUGUUGUGUUUUUGGUAGAUCAAUGUCACUACCUCUUUCUGCAACAUUUGUUAAAAUAAUGAUCUCAUAUAUUGUUUAUCUCUUGCGUUUAGCCUUAAGAGUUUGUUAUGCUUCUUUGAGAUCAAUGUCACUACCCCCUUUCCACAUCAUUUGCUAAAAUAGUGAUUUCAUAACUGUCUAUUUUAACAAAAUGAUUCUCUAACGAGACUACCAACACCCACUAAUUAUAGUUAAGUUCGGGGUGUUUUACAAACGAGUAUCCAAAAUAUCUAUUAAUUAUGUUUAAAUAGUGGAUGUCCUCUGUCUAAGACUAUUUACACCUACUAACUAUAAUUAAGUCGCGUGUGUUUAAAAAUGACCUCUGACUUAGACUACUUACAUCCACUAACUAUAAUUAAGUUUAAAAAUGAGUAUUCAGGACAUUAAUUAAUUAUGUAUAAAUAGUGGGAAUGUUCAGACUAGACAACGAAUACCCACGGAUUAAAGUUAAAUCCGGGAUGUUUUACGAAAGAGUAUCCAGAAUACCUAUUAAAUAUGUGUAAAUAGUGGGUGUUUCGUGACCAGACAACCAACAUUCACUAAUUAUAAUUAAAUCUUAGAUAUUUACAAAAUAUCCAGAACACCUAUUUCUGUAGAUAAUGAGUAUGUUUUGACCGGACAAUGAACACCCACUAAUUCUUCUUUAUUAUAGGAUGAUAUUGAUAUAUUUAAUUUUGAAAUCAAUUUUUUUUAGAUAUUUAAUAUAUUUUUGUUUGGUGAUUUGCUUAGUUUCAAGAAAAAAUAUAGUAUUGAAAUUGAAAUUGUGGUGUUGUUUGAUUUUUUUUUGCAGAGAUGGAAAGAGGGAGAAGAUGCUAGAGUUAGAAAACUCCGAAGGUUUAAAGUUUUGCUGCCGAAUGAAACGGUCCGGUACAGAGACUAGGAGGUUGAGGGGCAUACCCCCUCCAUACCUGUAAACAGAAAUAAUAAAUAAAAGAUAUAAAAAAUUGAAAAAUUAAUAAAUAAAAAUCAAUUCUUACCCUGCAAGUGGAGCGAAAUCUUGUAUGAUCAGGUUCGUUCCCUGGAUUUCAAGUAGAGCCGAAUGUAACAUAGGCCCUCCAACCAUGAAGCCCAUCUGAGAUACCAUGUCUUGAGUUGCUAUUAUUUUAGCACCAAANGAUUUGCCUCAAUUGUUUGUUUCUUUGUCAUUACCCUUAUUCAAGUUAGUUUCAGCUAUUUUAAGAGUUUUUUUUUAUGUUUAUUAUGAAUCAAUGACACUAUGCCUUUCUGCAUCAUUUGCUAAAAUAGUGAUCUCCUAUAUUGUUUGUCUCUUGUCUUUAGCCUUAUUCAAAUUAACUUCGGUUAUUUUAAGAGUUUGUUGUGUUUUUGGUAGAUCAAUGUCACUACCUCUUUCUGCAACAUUUGUUAAAAUAAUGAUCUCAUAUAUUGUUUAUCUCUUGCGUUUAGCCUUAAGAGUUUGUUAUGCUUCUUUGAGAUCAAUGUCACUACCCCCUUUCCACAUCAUUUGCUAAAAUAGUGAUUUCAUAACUGUCUAUUUUAACAAAAUGAUUCUCUAACGAGACUACCAACACCCACUAAUUAUAGUUAAGUUCGGGGUGUUUUACAAACGAGUAUCCAAAAUAACUAUUAAUUAUGUUUAAAUAGUGGAUGUCCUCUGUCUAAGACUAUUUACACCUACUAACUAUAAUUAAGUCGCGUGUGUUUAAAAAUGACCUCUGACUUAGACUACUUACAUCCACUAACUAUAAUUAAGUUUAAAAAUGAGUAUUCAGGACAUUAAUUAAUUAUGUAUAAAUAGUGGGAAUGUUCAGACUAGACAACGAAUACCCACGGAUUAAAGUUAAAUCCGGGAUGUUUUACGAAAGAGUAUCCAGAAUACCUAUUAAAUAUGUGUAAAUAGUGGGUGUUUCGUGACCAGACAACCAACAUUCACUAAUUAUAAUUAAAUCUUAGAUAUUUACAAAAUAUCCAGAACACCUAUUUCUGUAGAUAAUGAGUAUGUUUUGACCGGACAAUGAACACCCACUAAUUCUUCUUUAUUAUAGGAUGAUAUUGAUAUAUUUAAUUUUGAAAUCAAUUUUUUUUAGAUAUUUAAUAUAUUUUUGUUUGGUGAUUUGCUUAGUUUCAAGAAAAAAUAUAGUAUUGAAAUUGAAAUUGUGAUGUUGUUUGAUUUUUUUUUGCAGAGAUGGAAAGAGGGAGAAGAUGCUAGAGUUAGAAAACUCCGAAGGUUUAAAGUUUUGCUGCCGAAUGAAACGGUCCGGUACAGAGACUAGGAGGUUGAGGGGCAUACCCCCUUCAUACCUGUAAACAGAAAUAAUAAAUAAAAGAUAUAAAAAAUUGAAAAAUUAAUAAAUAAAAAUCAAUUCUUACCCUGCAAGUGGAGCGAAAUCUUGUAUGAUCAGGUUCAUUCCCUGGAUUUCAAGUAGAGCCGAAUGUAACAUAGGCCCUCCAACCAUGAAGCCCAUCUGAGAUACCAUGUCUUGAGUUGCUAUUAUUUUAGCACCAAAAUAAUCUCUAUAAAACACUGCAGCUUCUGCAACUUGUGGAUAUACCACUGAUAACACAACAUUAUAUUAAUGGGAUGAUUAGGCUCAUUAUUUGGAGGGGGAAAGGGGGUAGUUGAAUCGGAUAAAAUCCAUUAAAUCCAAUUCCGAUUCGCAUGCCUUGAUUGGAUUGGCCACGACCUCAACCUCCAUUGCGACCUCCAAUUCCUUGAGGAAUACCACGUCCGCGUCCGCGAGGAACACGCACUCGUGGACCAUAAUCCCCGUAAUUCAUUGCUUAAUCUAGAAUAUAAUGAGCUAAUUAGAAUCAAAAUCACAGAUAUUAACUAUCAAUGAAAACCCUACCUAAAACCAUUACAUUAAUUAGAUUCGAAAUUCCAACAAAAAAUCAUGUGAUAUAACAUCAUUUAGAAGAAUAAAAAAGGACAAGAAAAAAAGUUAAAUGAUUCAACAGUAGUCAACAGUGUAACAGAAUUGACUUACCAAUAUAAGUUCAAGAAAUAUUCAGUUCAAUUUUUUAGAAUAAAAACACACCAUAAGAACAUAAUAUUUAGAAUUAGUGAACAUACAUUGCAAGGACAAGAAAAAAAAGGUUAAAUUAUUCAAUAGUUUAUUCUAAUUAUGAGUAAAAGACAAGAAAAUUAAAUUAAACCAGUCAAAAGUGUAACAUAAUCUACUUACCAAUAAAAGUUCAAAGAAAUAUUCAGUUCAAUUUUUUUAGAAUAAAAGCACACCAUAAGAACAUAUAUUUAGAAUUAGUGAACAUACAUUGCAAGGACAAGAAAAAAAGGUAAAUUAUUCAACAGUUUAUUCUAAUUAUGAGUAAAAGACAAGAAAAUUAAAUAAAACCAGUCAACAGUGUAACAGAAUCCACUUACCAAUAAAAGUUCAAAGAAAUAUUCAAUUCAAUUGGAUCCAAGAACACACUGAGACCUAUAGUGCAAGAAAAAGUAAAAAAAAAACAAAAUUUAAAACAAGAACCUUAAUAAGAUUAAUAAGGUUAAAACACGAUAAAUAUAAAUUAAUCUUAAUUAGAACAAGAAUAUGAAAUUACCAAAUAGUUCUGUCGUAAAGGUCCCAAUCCCCAACCAGAACAGCGAGAGCGAAGAAAUCUACACAAAAUUUCAAGUCAAAUUCAGAAUCCAUAAAACGAACAUUGAUUAUAACAUUAAAAAAAACCAAUGUUCAUUCCAAGAAUAGAGAAACGAACGUAACUUUGGAAGACCAAACGAUUUUCUGAACAUAGAACAAACACUCUGAGCUAAAGCAUUUAUUUCAUACGUCGUUGUAUAUAUAAGCCCACAAAGAUAAAAAGAAAGAGAACCCAAGGGUUUUCAUUACAAUUAACUUAGUCUAGUUAAUUAAUUUAAUGUUGUUAGGGUUUUCUUUAUUUAAUUUGUUCGUUAAUUACUAUUAAAAUAAAAAUCAAUAUUUUAUAUUUUAUGACUAAU
This 17989-nucleotide long non-coding RNA is filed under the name Lathyrus oleraceus (garden pea). Its description in RNAcentral is "Pisum sativum (pea) long non-coding RNA (PSAT_LNC039847)". Lineage: Eukaryota; Viridiplantae; Streptophyta; Magnoliopsida; Fabales; Fabaceae. The record is from RNAcentral.